AGAGUUUGAUCCUGGCUCAGGAUGAACGCUGGCGGCGUGCUUAACACAUGCAAGUCGAACGAAGCACUUUAUUUGAUUUCCUUCGGGACUGAUUAUUUUGUGACUGAGUGGCGGACGGGUGAGUAACGCGUGGGUAACCUGCCUUGUACAGGGGGAUAACAGUUGGAAACGGCUGCUAAUACCGCAUAAGCGCACAGCAUCGCAUGAUGCAGUGUGAAAAACUCCGGUGGUAUAAGAUGGACCCGCGUUGGAUUAGCUAGUUGGUGAGGUAACGGCCCACCAAGGCGACGAUCCAUAGCCGACCUGAGAGGGUGACCGGCCACAUUGGGACUGAGACACGGCCCAAACUCCUACGGGAGGCAGCAGUGGGGAAUAUUGCACAAUGGGCGAAAGCCUGAUGCAGCGACGCCGCGUGAGCGAAGAAGUAUUUCGGUAUGUAAAGCUCUAUCAGCAGGGAAGAUAAUGACGGUACCUGACUAAGAAGCACCGGCUAAAUACGUGCCAGCAGCCGCGGUAAUACGUAUGGUGCAAGCGUUAUCCGGAUUUACUGGGUGUAAAGGGAGCGCAGGCGGUGCGGCAAGUCUGAUGUGAAAGCCCGGGGCUCAACCCCGGUACUGCAUUGGAAACUGUCGUACUAGAGUGUCGGAGGGGUAAGCGGAAUUCCUAGUGUAGCGGUGAAAUGCGUAGAUAUUAGGAGGAACACCAGUGGCGAAGGCGGCUUACUGGACGAUAACUGACGCUGAGGCUCGAAAGCGUGGGGAGCAAACAGGAUUAGAUACCCUGGUAGUCCACGCCGUAAACGAU
RNAcentral lists this ribosomal RNA (804 nucleotides) under uncultured bacterium. Its description in RNAcentral is "bacterial SSU rRNA". It matches the Rfam family "Bacterial small subunit ribosomal RNA", at positions 8 to 810 of the family's 1533-position model. The record is from RNAcentral.